This 483-nucleotide ribosomal RNA is filed under the name uncultured bacterium. RNAcentral describes it as "partial 16S ribosomal RNA". It matches the Rfam family "Bacterial small subunit ribosomal RNA", at positions 28 to 507 of the family's 1533-position model. The record is from RNAcentral.
GACGAACGCUGGCGGCGUGCUUAACACAUGCAAGUCGAACGCUGAAGCUCAGCUUUUGUUGGGUGGAUGAGUGGCGAACGGGUGAGUAACACGUGAGUAACCUGCCCCCUUCUUUGGGAUAACGCCCGGAAACGGGUGCUAAUACUGGAUAUUCACUGGUCUUCGCAUGGGGGUUGGUGGAAAGGGUUUUUCUGGUGGGAGAUGGGCUCGCGGCCUAUCAGCUUGUUGGUGGGGUGAUGGCCUACCAAGGCUUUGACGGGUAGCCGGCCUGAGAGGGUGACCGGUCACAUUGGGACUGAGAUACGGCCCAGACUCCUACGGGAGGCAGCAGUGGGGAAUAUUGCACAAUGGGCGCAAGCCUGAUGCAGCGACGCCGCGUGAGGGAUGGAGGCCUUCGGGUUGUGAACCUCUUUCGCUCAUGGUCAAGCCGCAACAAUGGUUGUGGUGAGGGUAGUGGGUAAAGAAGCGCCGGCUAACUACGUG